GAAAUGCGAUAAGUAGUGUGAAUUGCAGAAUUCAGUGAAUCAUCGAAUCUUUGAACGCACAUUGCGCCCUUUGGUAUUCCUUAGGGCCUGCCUGUUCGAGCGUCAUUUAAACCCUUCAAGCUCAGCUUGGUGUUGGGUGACUGUCCGCCGCCCCCGGGCGUGGACUCGCCCCAAAUCCAUUGGCGGCCGGUACGUAGGCUUCGAGCGCAGCAGAAACGCGAACUCGAGCCCGCGGUGUCGGCUCCCAGAAGCCAUCUCUUUUAUUUUGACCUCGGAUCAGGUAGGGAUACCCGCUGAACUUAAGC
Molecule: unclassified non-coding RNA, 305 nt
Filed under: plant metagenome
Description: partial contains 5.8S ribosomal RNA, internal transcribed spacer 2, and large subunit ribosomal RNA
Rfam family: 5.8S ribosomal RNA (bases 1-105)
Source: RNAcentral